GAAGAACGCAGCGAAAUGCGAAAAGCAGUGAGAAUUGCAGAAUUCAGAGAAUCAUCGAAUCUUCGAACGCACAUUGCGCCCUUUGGUAUUCCAAAGGGCAUGCCUGUUCGAGCGUCAUUUGUACCCUCAAGCUUUUGCUUGGUGUUGGGCGUCUUCUUGUCUCCCCCUUUGCUGGGAGACUCGCCUCAAAGUCAUUGGCAGCCGGCCUACUGGUUUCGGAGCGCAGCACAAGUCGCACUCUCUAUCAGCAAAGGUC
This 256-nucleotide ribosomal RNA is filed under the name Alternaria macrospora. RNAcentral's name for it is "partial 16S ribosomal RNA". The stretch from base 1 to 117 matches the Rfam family "5.8S ribosomal RNA", at positions 38 to 154 of the family's 154-position model. The record is from RNAcentral. Lineage: Eukaryota; Fungi; Ascomycota; Dothideomycetes; Pleosporales; Pleosporaceae.